RNAcentral lists this non-coding RNA (26 nucleotides) under Xenopus tropicalis (tropical clawed frog). The record is from RNAcentral. RNAcentral also lists the same sequence under 6 other names. Lineage: Eukaryota; Metazoa; Chordata; Amphibia; Anura; Pipidae.
AGUGGUUAGGAUUCGGCGCUCUCACC